RNAcentral lists this transfer RNA (74 nucleotides) under Chlamydiia bacterium. Its description in RNAcentral is "tRNA-Arg". It matches the Rfam family "tRNA". Rfam says of the family: Transfer RNA (tRNA) molecules are approximately 80 nucleotides in length. Their secondary structure includes four short double-helical elements and three loops (D, anti-codon, and T loops). Lineage: Bacteria; Pseudomonadati; Chlamydiota; Chlamydiia. The record is from RNAcentral.
GCACCGAUAGCUCAAUUGGAUAGAGCACUUGACUUCGGAUCAAGGGGUUAGAGGUUCGAGUCCUCUUCGGUGCG